RNAcentral lists this unclassified non-coding RNA (374 nucleotides) under Hevea brasiliensis (rubber tree). The record is from RNAcentral. Lineage: Eukaryota; Viridiplantae; Streptophyta; Magnoliopsida; Malpighiales; Euphorbiaceae.
AAGGAGAAGAAGAAAAAGAAGAAACAUGCGGAUAAUGAAGUGGAAAAUGUAGAACUCGAACAAAGUAAGAAAAAGAAGAGGAAACACGCUGAUGUCGAUGAGGAUGAACCAGAAACCACGGAAAAGAAGAAAGAUAAAAAGAAGAAGAAGAAGAAAGCUGAAGAAUAAAGUGUCCCAGCUGAGACAUUUUUUAGUAUCAACAAUUUUGUUUUUUGGGCAUGGGCGGCAUGUUUUUAAGUUGUACAAUGAUGUCUUUGUUAAGUUAUUUAGUGCUUUGUAAUGCAACUUAGGAUUCUGUUAGUUAAACACCAUGCUUUUCAAUCUUACUAUGGAUGCGUUAUUGCUACUUUGGAAUAUUUGCUAUAUGGUAUUUU